This 336-nucleotide unclassified non-coding RNA is filed under the name soil metagenome. RNAcentral describes it as "partial contains 5.8S ribosomal RNA, internal transcribed spacer 2, and large subunit ribosomal RNA". The stretch from base 1 to 120 matches the Rfam family "5.8S ribosomal RNA", at positions 35 to 154 of the family's 154-position model. The record is from RNAcentral.
GAUGAAGAACGCAACGAAAUGCGAUAAGUAAUGUGAAUUGCAGAAUUCAGUGAAUCAUCGAAUCUUUGAACGCACAUUGCGCCCGCCAGUAUUCUGGCGGGCAUGCCUGUUCGAGCGUCAUUUCAACCAUCAAGCCCCCGGGCUUGUGUUGGGGACCUGCGGCUGCCGCAGGCCCUGAAAAGCAGUGGCGGGCUCGCUGUCACACCGAGCGUAGUAGCAUACAUCUCGCUCUGGGCGUGCUGCGGGUUCCGGCCGUUAAACCACCUUUUAACCCAAGGUUGACCUCGGAUCAGGUAGGAAGACCCGCUGAACUUAAGCAUAUCAAUAAGCGGAGGA